GACGAACGCUGGCGGCGUGCUUAACACAUGCAAGUCGAACGGAAAGGCCCUGCUUUUGUGGGGUGCUCGAGUGGCGAACGGGUGAGUAACACGUGAGUAACCUGCCCUUGACUUUGGGAUAACUUCAGGAAACUGGGGCUAAUACCGGAUAGGAGCUCCUGCUGCAUGGUGGGGGUUGGAAAGUUUCGGCGGUUGGGGAUGGACUCGCGGCUUAUCAGCUUGUUGGUGGGGUAGUGGCUUACCAAGGCUUUGACGGGUAGCCGGCCUGAGAGGGUGACCGGCCCCAUUGGGACUGAGAUACGGCCCAGACUCCUACGGGAGGAAGAAGUGGGGAAUAUUGCACAAUGGGCGGAAGCCUGAUGCAGCAACGCCGCGUGCGGGAUGACGGCCUUCGGGUUGUAAACCGCUUUCGCCUGUGACGAAGCGUGAGUGACGGUAAUGGGUAAAGAAGCACCGGCUAACUACGUG
This 468-nucleotide ribosomal RNA is filed under the name uncultured bacterium. RNAcentral's name for it is "partial 16S ribosomal RNA". It matches the Rfam family "Bacterial small subunit ribosomal RNA", at positions 28 to 507 of the family's 1533-position model. The record is from RNAcentral.